This 1387-nucleotide unclassified non-coding RNA is filed under the name Leishmania donovani. RNAcentral's name for it is "gene:LdHU3.22.1410(CDS-product:hypothetical_prote in_conserved)". The record is from RNAcentral. Lineage: Eukaryota; Euglenozoa; Kinetoplastea; Trypanosomatida; Trypanosomatidae.
UGACCUCGCAUACCUCCCUCCCACAUUUGCCGCAGUCACUCACCAGUGGCUACGCCGCGUCACCAGCAAGGCCACGGCAGCAGGGAUCCAACGAAACAAGAGAAGAGGCCCGAAAGAACGCGAUGGGCUGGUUUCGCUCCUCGGCCUCGGGAGCGGCCGGCACCGCCACCGCAGAAGCGCCAGCGGCAGCAACCGAGCACGGAGCCCAGCAGCGGCAGCCGCAGCCGGAAGCGAAUUCUCCGGCACCGUUGACUGAGGCGGAGCAGCUCGACCUCCUCGUCGCCGGUGCGCGUCUCGACGGCACAGAAGCGCAGGACACGGAUCGCUUCCUCGGGUCCAACAGGCGGCACACGUACGCGGACGGUCUGCUAAGCUGCGCCGCCUACACCUUCAGCGGGCUGCAGCACAUUCAAGGGCAAAGUAGCGCCCUGACGCUGCUCACCAUGUGGACGGUGGGAACGACGUUCCUGGUCGACGUGGCAGAGCGGAAGUACCUGCAAGAAUCUCUGCAGAGCACGCUGUGCACAACCCAGACAAGAAGCGUAGCUGAAAAGCCGGUAUUGCUCGAUCAGCCGCCACACAACGCUACACCGGCAUCUACGCCAGGAAAAGCAGCAGUGGCGCCGGCGAUGCCUACUGCGUACGACUCGCUGUCAUCAGCGAUCAAGAAGUCCGCGCCACAAGACAAGGAGAAGCUCGCGGAGCAGCAGCGAAAGGUGUUCUUGACACAGGCGGUUGCAUCGUGGUUGUGGAUGCUAGCCUCCUUUCAGCAGUUCAAGGUGCACAAGCGACUCAAGUGGUGCGGGUACAGCAGCUGGAUGGGACUCGGCUGCGCGGGGUACUACACGACUCGGCAUCUCUACAAUCUGCUUGUGAAGUAGGAGGGGAGCUGAGGGUGUAGAGGCGGAUUCGUGCUGCCGCAACGCGACGCAGCACUGGCGAACGCGCUCUAGGUCGGUGUACUCGGGGACGGAGGGUGCUGUCGCCUCUGCUCCGUUUUGUUCGUGUCGGUGGAUGUGCGGUGUAACCCCCCUCACAGUGCGCUUGGCGCGUGAUUGGCCGGCGACGGGGCUGGACGGUGAAGCUCCGACACCAGUGACAUGCGUACACGCAGAGAUCUUAUAAGUAUGCAGGUAUAUGGUCAUGAUAACGCGCUAAGGCCGGCGCUGGCGAUGAAGUUGUGGAGGCAGGCAUGGAGUACGAUAGCGUAGGCGAGAGCGUCCGCAGAGACGAGACUAGCGGCUCCCCCGUGUGGUUCUCUGAAGCGGAAGAGAAACAGUGACGGCGGCGUGGAAGGGCGGCGGAGUGCACACGUGGCUUUCCAGACACCUUUAUCGUGUACGGAUGGCUCUCUUCCACCACCCGUCCUUCUCUCGCCUCACGCCUC